Molecule: ribosomal RNA, 253 nt
Filed under: uncultured bacterium
Lineage: Bacteria
Description: partial 16S ribosomal RNA
Rfam family: Bacterial small subunit ribosomal RNA
Source: RNAcentral
UACGUAGGUGGCAAGCGUUGUCCGGAUUUACUGGGCGUAAAGAGCGCGCAGGCGGUCGUUCAAGUCGCGUGUGAAAGCCCCCGGCUCAACUGGGGAGGGUCACGCGAUACUGAUCGACUCGAAGGCAGGAGAGGGUAGUGGAAUUCCCGGUGUAGUGGUGAAAUGCGUAGAGAUCGGGAGGAACACCAGUGACGAAGGCGACUUCUUGGCCUGUUCUUGACGCUGAGGCGCGAAAGCUGGGGGAGCAAACGGG